RNAcentral lists this ribosomal RNA (468 nucleotides) under uncultured bacterium. Its description in RNAcentral is "bacterial SSU rRNA". It matches the Rfam family "Bacterial small subunit ribosomal RNA", at positions 328 to 802 of the family's 1533-position model. The record is from RNAcentral.
AUGAAACACUCCUACGGGAGGCAGCAGUGGGGAAUAUUGCACAAUGGGCGCAAGCCUGAUGCAGCGACGCCGCGUGGGGGAUGAAGGCCUUCGGGUUGUAAACUCCUUUCGCUAUCGACGAAGCCACUUGUGGUGACGGUAGGUAGAUAAGAAGCACCGGCUAACUACGUGCCAGCAGCCGCGGUAAUACGUAGGGUGCAAGCGUUGUCCGGAAUUACUGGGCGUAAAGAGCUCGUAGGUGGUUUGUCGCGUCGUCUGUGAAAUCCCGGGGCUUAACUUCGGGCGUGCAGGCGAUACGGGCAUAACUUGAGUGCUGUAGGGGAGACUGGAAUUCCUGGUGUAGCGGUGAAAUGCGCAGAUAUCAGGAGGAACACCGAUGGCGAAGGCAGGUCUCUGGGCAGUAACUGACGCUGAGGAGCGAAAGCAUGGGUAGCGAACAGGAUUAGAUACCCUAGUAGUCCGAAGUUC